CAAACCUGGAGGCUAUUCAGUCAGUCACUGGGCUGUGCCAGGAUUCGCGGACUUUCUCCUGAGCAGCGCUCUCAGUUAGCGUCUUCCGCCUGCCACUCUCGCACGCCCCCAGAGUACCCACCGAUCCCAGCAGGCCGGGUACUCCCGGCCGCGCGCAUCCGGCCAGUGGCUCCAGGGGCGGGCCUGGUAUGUCUCCAGCUGGGCGCCCGCCGCCCGCCCCAGCGCUAGUUCUGGCGUUGAGGGGAGAGAGGUAAGGAGGGGAGUUGGCGGGGCAUCUCCCUCCCAGGGCUGAGCUGGCAAGUGCAUCUUCUCUGCGAGUUCCUCACUGUCCAGCGAGCGCUGCCCAACUUCUGCGCCGGUGGGACCCGCUGCUCUGAGUAGCUCUUGGCACGGAAGACCAAGCACCCUCAGAAACCGCAUUUACCACGUUUGUGAGGCUCCUGAGAGAAGCAGCCAUCUCCCCCAAAGGGAAAGCCUUAGGCGUCCCGGAAGACCCCGCGGACUGUGCACCUCGAGGUACCAGCCUCUCCUAGGAGGAGUAGGGGGCCGCUGGUCAGCGGCUGGCAGAGGGGACCUGUUUGCUGGCCCGUUUGGACGUGGGAUGGGGUGGGGUUUGGAGACUGAGAAGCUCAAGAGAAGACACUGAGUUUCUCCCCACCCCCCAACUCCACUUCCGAUAAAGAACCAGGUGGCGAGGAGGAAUAAGGCGACGUGUAAACACAAACAACCUCAAAAAGAAGCCAAGAAAAGCGAAGCCCAAAGAAGCAAGAGCAACACUGUUACAAAACUGUCUGGUUUUGUAACAAUUUCCCCGCCGCCGGCCAAUGAGCAGCGUGGCGGCAGGUCACGUGGUACCGUUUUAUAUAACACUUUGCUGAGACAAGACAGUUAUUAGGCGGCGCGGGGCGCCCGGCAUGGAGCUCCCGGAGGCGCGGCAGGGUCCGGAGCUCGGUGGCACGGCGGCGGUGGCUGCCCCGAUUUCCUCCAGCUGCCACUCUUUGCUUCGUGUCCCCAGUCCCUAGACGCCUCUUCC
Molecule: long non-coding RNA, 1033 nt
Filed under: Macaca fascicularis (crab-eating macaque)
Lineage: Eukaryota; Metazoa; Chordata; Mammalia; Primates; Cercopithecidae
Description: lncRNA (ENSMFAG00000063632.1)
Source: RNAcentral